GAGUUUGAUCAUGGCUCAGAUUGAACGCUGGCGGCAUGCCUUACACAUGCAAGUCGAACGGCAGCACGGGAGCUUGCUCCUGGUGGCGAGUGGCGAACGGGUGAGUAAUGCAUCGGAACGUAUCCUGGAGUGGGGGAUAACGUAGCGAAAGUUACGCUAAUACCGCAUAUUCUGUGAGCAGGAAAGCGGGGGACCUUCGGGCCUCGCGCUCUUGGAGCGGCCGAUGUCGGAUUAGCUAGUUGGUGAGGUAAAGGCUCACCAAGGCGACGAUCCGUAGCAGGUCUGAGAGGAUGAUCUGCCACACUGGAACUGAGACACGGUCCAGACUCCUACGGAGGCAGCAGUGGGGAAUUUUGGACAAUGGGGGCAACCCUGAUCCAGCCAUGCCGCGUGAGUGAAGAAGGCCUCGG
Molecule: ribosomal RNA, 410 nt
Filed under: bacterium enrichment culture clone ALO1_GLFRUDD03F6VJ3
Lineage: Bacteria
Also listed under: 2 other names
Description: bacterial SSU rRNA
Rfam family: Bacterial small subunit ribosomal RNA
Source: RNAcentral